RNAcentral lists this ribosomal RNA (253 nucleotides) under uncultured bacterium. RNAcentral describes it as "partial 16S ribosomal RNA". It matches the Rfam family "Bacterial small subunit ribosomal RNA", at positions 524 to 776 of the family's 1533-position model. The record is from RNAcentral.
UACAGAGGUCCCAAGCGUUGUUCGGAUUCACUGGGCGUAAAGGGUGCGUAGGCGGUCGGGUAAGUCUGAUGUGAAAUCUCACAGCUUAACUGUGAAACUGCAUUGGAUACUAUCCGGCUCGAGGAAUGGAGGGGAGACUGGAAUACUUGGUGUAGCAGUGAAAUGCGUAGAUAUCAAGUGGAACACCAGUGGCGAAGGCGAGUCUCUGGACAUUUCCUGACGCUGGGGCACGAAAGCCAGGGGAGCAAACGGG